ACGCAAACCUUCCAGCGUGGCUGGGUCUGGUCGGUGACCCUGAUCAUUCCUGUUGUGUUUGCGAAAGCAACCCGGGACGGUUUGAGGCCUCCCCCCGCUCUCUUUUUUUCGGGGAGAGGUUAUAGAAAUCCCGGACAAGA
This is a small nucleolar RNA of Crotalus tigris (Tiger rattlesnake), 140 nucleotides long. RefSeq annotates it as small nucleolar RNA SNORA9. The transcript has a single exon. The record is from RefSeq and is a predicted model, not a curated record. NCBI's taxonomy places the organism in Eukaryota, Metazoa, Chordata, Lepidosauria, Squamata, Viperidae.